GUCAUAUGCUUGUCUCAAAGACUAAGCCAUGCAUGUCUCAGUACAAGCCAAAUUAAGGUGAAACCGCAAAAGGCUCAUUAAAUCAGUUAUGGUUCCUUAGAUCGUACCCACAAUUACUUGGAUAACUGUGGUAAUUCUAGAGCUAACACAUGCAAACAGAGCUCCGACCGGGGACGGAAGGAGUGCUUUUAUUAGAUCAAAACCAAUCGGUGGCGGGUGUUCGCGCGCUCGUCAUCGUACGAAGUGGUGAUUCUGAAUAACUUUACGCUGAUCGCACGGUCAUCGCACCGGCGACGCGUCUUUCAAAUGUCUGCCUUAUCAACUGUCGAUGGUAGGUUCUGCGCCUACCAUGGUUGUAACGGGUAACGGGGAAUCAGGGUUCGAUUCCGGAGAGGGAGCCUGAGAAACGGCUACCACAUCCAAGGAAGGCAGCAGGCGCGCAAAUUACCCACUCCCGGCACGGGGAGGUAGUGACGAAAAAUAACGAUACGGGACUCAUCCGAGGCCCCGUAAUCGGAAUGAGCACAUUCUAAACCAAUUAACGAGGAUCUAUUGGAGGGCAAGUCUGGUGCCAGCAGCCGCGG
RNAcentral lists this ribosomal RNA (584 nucleotides) under Trigonopterus acuminatus. RNAcentral's name for it is "SSU rRNA". It matches the Rfam family "Eukaryotic small subunit ribosomal RNA", at positions 23 to 579 of the family's 1831-position model. The record is from RNAcentral. Lineage: Eukaryota; Metazoa; Arthropoda; Insecta; Coleoptera; Curculionidae.